GAGCGUGGCGCGGCGUGGGGACGGGGACGAGGAGUUGCGCCUGCGCAGGACGUAGUCCUUCGGGUGAGGGCGGGAGCGUUAAGCUCCGCGCCAGCGGGCUGGAAGUCGUUCCCGGAAAUGGGAGGUCUGUGGCUUUCGGGCGCUCCGGAGAGGAACUUCCUUGGAGGCGCAGUGGUUAAGAAUCCACCUGCCAAUGCAUGGGACAUGGGUUCGAGCCCUGGUCCAGGAAGAUCCCACAUGCCACGGAGCAACUAAGCCCGUGCACCACAACUACUGAGCCUGCGCUCUAGAGCCUGUGAGCCACAACUACUGAGCCUGCGAGCCACAGCUACUGAAGCCCACGCACCUAGAGCCCAUGCUCCACAACAAGAUAAGCCACCACAAUGAGAAGCCCGCGCACCGCAACAAAGAGUAGCCCCCGCUCAACGCCAACUAGAGAAAGCCAGCAUGCAGCAACGAAGACCCAACACAACCAAAAAUAAAUAAAUAAAUAAAAUUGAAAAUAAUAAAACUUCUUUAUACAAUGGAAUACUACUCAGCCAUAAAAAAGAAUGAAAUAAUGCCAUUUGCAGCAACAUGGAUGGACCGAGAAAUUAUCAUACUAAGUGAAGGAAGUCAGAAAGAAAGCCAAAUACCAUAUGAUAUCACUUGUAUGUGGAAUCUAAAAUAUUACGUAAAUGAACUUAUCCACAAAGUAGAAACAGACUCACAGACAUAGAGAACAGAUUUGUGGUUGCCAAGGGAGAGGGUGUAUGGGGGAGGGAUGGAAUUAGCAGAUGCAAACUGUUAUAUAUAGAAUGGAUGAACAACAAGGUCUGUAUAGCACAGGGAACUAUAUUCAAUAUCCUGUAAUAAAACAUAAUGGAAAAGAAUUUUAAAAAAAAAACUCCUUAAAGGCACACAUUCCUAUAAGACUAUCCUAAGAAUUAUCAAUUUCCUGGACUUCUCUAACUUCAAUUUAGGAAAUAUCAACUCUCCGAAACUCCACAUCCUAGCCUUCCCUUAUUGUCUUGUUUUGCUGAGUGCUACUUAUUUAAUAUUCUUUACAACAAUGCUCUUACUAUGCGGUAUAAUGAUGUACUACAUCAACUUGAAUGAAAUGAAAAAAAAAACUCUGCUUACUCUAUGCAUCCAUUCUCCUCCCGAGUUCUUUGAUCAAGUUUACAAUCAUUACUCUGAACGGAAAGAAUGUGAACUUUUAUCCACAGGAUAAUGUCUAUAUUUUUGCCGAUAAAAAAUGAUCUGGGUUCCAGAUCUAAGAGGGAAAAGCAGUUUGACUUAAAGAAAGGUAUGCAUGCCUUGAGGGCCCUCUUGUGUGUGAGUUCUCGGAGGAUGACUUCGAGCUCCAAGCCCUGUGGCUCACAGUGCACCCAAAUCAGAAAAUGUUCACAAGGGGCUUUCCUGGUGGCGCAGUGGUUGAGGGUCCGCCUGCUGAUGCAGGGGACGCAGGUUCGUGCCCCGGUCUGGGAGGAUCCCACGUGCCGCGGAGCGACUGGGCCCGUGAGCCAUGGCCGCUGAGCCUGCGCGUCCGGAGCCUGUGCUCCGCAGCGGGAGAGGCUGUGGCUGUGAGGGGCCCGCGUACCGCAAAAAAAAAAAGUGUUCACAAGAACUGUGAAGACGUUUUGAAAAUCCUGAAAGCCCUGAAAUUCUCCCCCAUGGUUUGGAGGAGCGCCUUUUAUUCCCGGUGUAAUGCUGAUAAAUAAAUUGGUACCUGGUGUUCAA
Molecule: long non-coding RNA, 1722 nt
Organism: Orcinus orca (killer whale)
Lineage: Eukaryota; Metazoa; Chordata; Mammalia; Artiodactyla; Delphinidae
Exons: 2
Source: RefSeq, a predicted model, not a curated record